RNAcentral lists this ribosomal RNA (253 nucleotides) under uncultured bacterium. RNAcentral's name for it is "partial 16S ribosomal RNA". It matches the Rfam family "Bacterial small subunit ribosomal RNA", at positions 524 to 776 of the family's 1533-position model. The record is from RNAcentral.
UACGUAGGGUGCGAGCGUUGUCCGGAAUUAUUGGGCGUAAAGGGCUCGUAGGCGGUCUGUCACGUCGGGAGUGAAAACUCGGGGCUCAACCCCGAGCCUGCUUCCGAUACGGGCAGACUAGAGGUAUGCAGGGGAGAAUGGAAUUCCUGGUGUAGCGGUGAAAUGCGUAGAGAUGUGGAGGAACACCAGUGGCGAAGGCGGCUUUUUGGUCUGUAACUGACGCUGAGGCGCGAAAGCGUGGGGAGCAAACAGG